Molecule: ribosomal RNA, 465 nt
Filed under: Vreelandella stevensii
Lineage: Bacteria; Pseudomonadati; Pseudomonadota; Gammaproteobacteria; Oceanospirillales; Halomonadaceae
Description: partial 16S ribosomal RNA
Rfam family: Bacterial small subunit ribosomal RNA
Source: RNAcentral
CCUACGGGAGGCAGCAGUGGGGAAUAUUGGACAAUGGGGGCAACCCUGAUCCAGCCAUGCCGCGUGUGUGAAGAAGGCCCUCGGGUUGUAAAGCACUUUCAGUGAGGAAGAACGCCUGGUGGUUAAUACCCAUCAGGAAAGACAUCACUCACAGAAGAAGCACCGGCUAACUCCGUGCCAGCAGCCGCGGUAAUACGGAGGGUGCGAGCGUUAAUCGGAAUUACUGGGCGUAAAGCGCGCGUAGGUGGCUUGAUAAGCCGGUUGUGAAAGCCCCGGGCUCAACCUGGGAACGGCAUCCGGAACUGUCAAGCUAGAGUGCAUGAGAGGAAGGUAGAAUUCCCGGUGUAGCGGUGAAAUGCGUAGAGAUCGGGAGGAAUACCAGUGGCGAAGGCGGCCUUCUGGACUGACACUGACACUGAUGUGCGAAAGCGUGGGUAGCAAACAGGAGUAGAUACCCUUGUAGUC